This 402-nucleotide ribosomal RNA is filed under the name uncultured bacterium. RNAcentral's name for it is "bacterial SSU rRNA". It matches the Rfam family "Bacterial small subunit ribosomal RNA", at positions 355 to 774 of the family's 1533-position model. The record is from RNAcentral.
UGGGGAAUAUUGCACAAUGGGGGAAACCCUGAUGCAGCGACGCCGCGUGAGUGAAGAAGUAUUUCGGUAUGUAAAGCUCUAUCAGCAGGGAAGAAAGUGACGGUACCUGAAUAAGAAGCCCCGGCUAACUACGUGCCAGCAGCCGCGGUAAUACGUAGGGGGCAAGCGUUAUCCGGAUUUACUGGGUGUAAAGGGAGCGUAGACGGCAAGGCAAGUCUGAAGUGAAAGCCCGGUGCUUAACGCCGGGACUGCUUUGGAAACUGUUUGGCUGGAGUGCCGGAGAGGUAAGCGGAAUUCCUAGUGUAGCGGUGAAAUGCGUAGAUAUUAGGAAGAACACCAGUGGCGAAGGCGGCUUACUGGACGGUAACUGACGUUGAGGCUCGAAAGCGUGGGGAGCAAACA